UGGGGAAUAUUGGGCAAUGGAGGCAACUCUGACCCAGCCAUGCCGCGUGGGUGACGAAGGUCUUCGGAUUGUAAAGCCCUUUCGGCGGGGACGAUGAUGACGGUACCCGCAGAAGAAGCCCCGGCUAACUUCGUGCCAGCAGCCGCGGUAAUACGAAGGGGGCUAGCGUUGUUCGGAAUUACUGGGCGUAAAGGGCGUGUAGGCGGCCCGCUAAGUCAGGUGUGAAAUUCCUGGGCUCAACCCAGGACGUGCACUUGAGACUGACGGGCUUGAGUCCGGGAGAGGAUGGUGCAACUCCCAGUGUCGAGGUGAAAUUCGUAGAUAUUGGGAAGAACACCCGUGGCGAAGGCGGCCAUCUGGACCGGUACUGACGCUAAGGCGCGACAGCGUGGGGAGCAAACA
This 402-nucleotide ribosomal RNA is filed under the name uncultured bacterium. RNAcentral's name for it is "bacterial SSU rRNA". It matches the Rfam family "Bacterial small subunit ribosomal RNA", at positions 355 to 774 of the family's 1533-position model. The record is from RNAcentral.